RNAcentral lists this ribosomal RNA (447 nucleotides) under uncultured bacterium. RNAcentral's name for it is "partial 16S ribosomal RNA". It matches the Rfam family "Bacterial small subunit ribosomal RNA", at positions 331 to 792 of the family's 1533-position model. The record is from RNAcentral.
CCAGACUCCUACGGGAGGCAGCAGUGGGGAAUAUUGCACAAUGGGCGAAAGCCUGAUGCAGCAACGCCGCGUGAAGGAAGAAGGGUUUCGGCUCGUAAACUUCUAUCAACAGGGACGAAGGAAAUGACGGUACCUGACUAAGAAGCCCCGGCUAACUACGUGCCAGCAGCCGCGGGAAUACGUAGGGGGCAAGCGUUAUCCGGAUUUACUGGGUGUAAAGGGAGCGUAGACGGCUGUGCAAGCCAGAUGUGAAAGCCCGGGGCUCAACCCCGGGACUGCAUUUGGAACUGUGUGGCUGGAGUGUCGGAGAGGCAGGCGGAAUUCCUAGUGUAGCGGUGAAAUGCGUAGAUAUUAGGAGGAACACCAGUGGCGAAGGCGGCCUGCUGGACGAUGACUGACGUUGAGGCUCGAAAGCGUGGGGAGCAAACAGGAUUAGAUACCCCCGUA